GUUACCCUGCAGAUGUCGCGAUGGAAAGGCCAAGCUUCUCGAAGCCCGAUGCUGGCUUAUUAGCUGACAUACUGGCUGAGCAGACCUCUAGAGGAACCGAGAGACCAUUCUUUGGGAAUGAUUCAUCCACCGCGCCAACCAUUGGGAUUAGCCCGAUAUCGAUUCCUGGCAUAUCUAGCUUGCCUCGGAGUGACGGACUCGCAGGACCAGCCACCGGGACUGAUUCUCUUAUGACUCCUGUCG
Long non-coding RNA from Asparagus officinalis (garden asparagus), 243 nucleotides. RefSeq lists it as uncharacterized. The record is from RefSeq and is a predicted model, not a curated record. Lineage: Eukaryota; Viridiplantae; Streptophyta; Magnoliopsida; Asparagales; Asparagaceae. The transcript has 3 exons.